GGAGGCUGCGACUCAGUGGGAGAGCAUCUGCUUGGCAUGCAUAAAGUCUCAGGUUCAAUUCCCGGCAGCUCCA
Molecule: transfer RNA, 73 nt
Filed under: Sphaerodactylus townsendi
Lineage: Eukaryota; Metazoa; Chordata; Lepidosauria; Squamata; Sphaerodactylidae
Description: tRNA-Ala
Rfam family: tRNA
About the family: Transfer RNA (tRNA) molecules are approximately 80 nucleotides in length. Their secondary structure includes four short double-helical elements and three loops (D, anti-codon, and T loops). Further hydrogen bonds mediate the characteristic L-shaped molecular structure. tRNAs have two regions of fundamental functional importance: the anti-codon, which is responsible for specific mRNA codon recognition, and the 3' end, to which the tRNAs corresponding amino acid is attached (by aminoacyl-tRNA synthetases). tRNAs cope with the degeneracy of the genetic code in two manners: having more than one tRNA (with a specific anti-codon) for a particular amino acid; and 'wobble' base-pairing, i.e. permitting non-standard base-pairing at the 3rd anti-codon position.
Source: RNAcentral